UGCGUAGGCGGCUUGGCAAGUUGGGUGUGAAAUCCCUCGGCUCAACCGAGGAAUUGCGCUCAAAACUGCUAAGCUUGAGGGAGAUAGGGGUGAGCGGAACUAAUGGUGGAGCGGUGAAAUGCGUUGAUAUCAUUAGGAACACCGGAGGCGAAAGCGGCUCACUGGGUCUCUUCUGACGCUGAGCACGAAAGCUAGGGGAGCGAACG
Molecule: ribosomal RNA, 206 nt
Filed under: uncultured bacterium
Lineage: Bacteria
Description: partial 16S ribosomal RNA
Rfam family: Bacterial small subunit ribosomal RNA
Source: RNAcentral